GACGAACGCUGGCGGCGUGCUUAACACAUGCAAGUCGAACGGAAAGGCCCUGCUUUUGUGGGGUGCUCGAGUGGCGAACGGGUGAGUAACACGUGAGUAACCUGCCCUUGACUUUGGGAUAACUUCAGGAAACUGGGGCUAAUACCGGCUAGGAGCUCCUGCUGCAUGGUGGGGGUUGGAAAGUUUCGGCGGUUGGGGAUGGACUCGCGGCUUAUCAGCUUGUUGGUGGGGUAGUGGCUUACCCAGGCUUUGACGGGUAGCCGGCCUGAGAGGGGGACCGGCGACAUGGGGACUGAGAUACGGACCAGACUCCUACGGGAGGCAGCGGUGGGGAAUAUUGCACAAUGGGCGGAAGCGUGAUGCAGCAACGCCGCGUGCGGGAUGACGGCCUUCGGGUUGUAAACCGCUUUCGCCUGUGACGAAGCGUGAGUGACGGUAAUGGGUAAAGAAGCACCGGCUAACUACGUG
Molecule: ribosomal RNA, 468 nt
Filed under: uncultured bacterium
Lineage: Bacteria
Description: partial 16S ribosomal RNA
Rfam family: Bacterial small subunit ribosomal RNA
Source: RNAcentral